AGAGUUUGAUCCUGGCUCAGGACGAACGCUGGCGGCGUGCUUAACACAUGCAAGUCGAACGAGUUUAAGAAGGAAGCUUGCGAAUCUUAAACUUAGUGGCGGACGGGUGAGUAACGCGUGGAUAACCUGCCUACAUGCCUGGGACAACACCGGAAAACUGGUGCUAAUACCGGAUACGCUCAUCUUUAUACAUGUAGAGAUGAGGAAAGGAGAAAUCCGCAUAUAGAUGGGUCCGCGUCCCAUUAGCUAGUUGGGGGUGUAAUAGACCACCAAGGCGACGAUGGGUAGCCGGCCUGAGAGGGUGGACGGCCACACUGGAACUGAGACACGGUCCAGACUCCUACGGGAGGCAGCAGUGGGGAAUCUUCCGCAAUGGGCGAAAGCCUGACGGAGCAACGCCGCGUGAGUGAAGAAGGCCUUCGGGUCGUAAAACUCUGUCUUCAGGGAAGAAAAAAAUGACGGUACCUGAGGAGGAAGCCCCGGCUAACUACGUGCCAGCAGCCGCGGUAAAACGUAGGGGGCGAGCGUUGUCCGGAAUUACUGGGCGUAAAGGGCGCGUAGGCGGUUAUUUAAGUCAGAGGUGAAAACUACCGGCUCAACCGGUAGCCUGCCUUUGAAACUGGAUGACUUGAGGGCAGGAGAGGGGAGUGGAAUUCCCAGUGUAGCGGUGAAAUGCGUAGAUAUUGGGAGGAACACCAGUGGCGAAGGCGGCUCUCUGGCCUGUUUCUGAUGCUGAGGCGCGAAAGCGUGGGGAGCAAACGGGAUUAGAUACCCCGGUAGUCCACGCCGUAAACGAUGGGUGCUAGGUGUAGGAGGUAUCGACCCCUUCUGUGCCGUAGUUAACACAAUAAGCACCCCGCCUGGGGAGUACGGCCGCAAGGUUGAAACUUAAAGGAAUUGACGG
Molecule: ribosomal RNA, 904 nt
Filed under: uncultured Pelotomaculum sp.
Lineage: Bacteria; Bacillati; Bacillota; Clostridia; Eubacteriales; Desulfotomaculaceae
Description: SSU rRNA
Rfam family: Bacterial small subunit ribosomal RNA
Source: RNAcentral